AGAGUUUGAUCAUGGCUCAGGAUGAACGCUGGCGGCGUGCCUAGCACAUGCAAGUCGAACGGAAUUUACAUGAAGCCUAGCGAUUGUAAAUUUAGUGGCGGACGGGUGAGUAACGCGUGGGUAACCUGCCUUGUACUGGGGGACAACAGUUGGAAACGACUGCUAAUACCGCAUAAGCGCACGGCUUCGCAUGAAGCAGUGUGAAAAACUCCGGUGGUACAAGAUGGACCCGCGUCUGAUUAGCUGGUUGGUGAGGUAACGGCCGACCAAGGCGACGAUCAGUAGCCGGCCUGAGAGGGUGAACGGCCACACUUGGGACUGAGACACGGCCCAAACGUCCCUACGGGAGGCA
RNAcentral lists this ribosomal RNA (352 nucleotides) under uncultured bacterium. RNAcentral's name for it is "bacterial SSU rRNA". It matches the Rfam family "Bacterial small subunit ribosomal RNA", at positions 8 to 350 of the family's 1533-position model. The record is from RNAcentral.